Gossypium arboreum is the source of this 394-nucleotide long non-coding RNA. RefSeq lists it as uncharacterized. NCBI's taxonomy places the organism in Eukaryota, Viridiplantae, Streptophyta, Magnoliopsida, Malvales, Malvaceae. The record is from RefSeq and is a predicted model, not a curated record. The transcript is spliced from 2 exons.
GAUCGGCAAAAGUCGAAAAUCCGAAAUGCCGAAAACCGGUAUUUUGUAGAUUUGCGAGUGUGCGAAUGCUCGUGAGGUAAAUCGAUUAAUGUUUUUGUUAAGCUGCAAUGUUUGGACUACAAAGUGCAUGAUUUCUGUGCCCUCGAUAUUUUUGGGCUUAAUGGGCCAAAAUUGGAAUGAUGGGCCAACGGGCCCAAUUCGGAAAUCCCCAACCAUAGUGGGCUUGGAGCUGUGAGGGAAUUCGGAGUGGCCACCCGUUCUAAAAGUUUGAUUUUCUUCUGGUGAACCGGACAUCCUUUUAUUUACGUUUUUUGUUUUGGGUUUUUAAAUGUAAUAAGGCCGCUUAAUUAUUUUUGAUGGUUUUAAUAUGUAUUACUAAGAUAGGUAUUACUUA